AUUGAACGCUGGCGGCAGGCCUAACACAUGCAAGUCGAACGGUAACAGAAAGCAGCUUGCUGCUUUGCUGACGAGUGGCGGACGGGUGAGUAAUGUCUGGGAAACUGCCUGAUGGAGGGGGAUAACUACUGGAAACGGUAGCUAAUACCGCAUAACGUCGCAAGACCAAAGAGGGGGACCUUCGGGCCUCUUGCCAUCGGAUGUGCCCAGAUGGGAUUAGCUUGUUGGUGGGGUAACGGCUCACCAAGGCGACGAUCCCUAGCUGGUCUGAGAGGAUGACCAGCCACACUGGAACUGAGACACGGUCCAGACUCCUACGGGAGGCAGCAGUGGGGAAUAUUGCACAAUGGGCGCAAGCCUGAUGCAGCCAUGCCGCGUGUACGAAGAAGGCCUUCGGGUUGUAAAGUACUUUCAGCGGGGAGGAAGGGAGUAAAGUUAAUACCUUUGCUCAUUGACGUUACCCGCAGAAGAAGCACCGGCUAACUCCGUG
This 490-nucleotide ribosomal RNA is filed under the name uncultured bacterium. RNAcentral's name for it is "partial 16S ribosomal RNA". It matches the Rfam family "Bacterial small subunit ribosomal RNA", at positions 30 to 507 of the family's 1533-position model. The record is from RNAcentral.